CACUGAGGUGCGAAAGCGUGGGGAGCAAACGGGAUUAGAUACCCCGGUAGUCCACGCCGUAAACGAUGUCUACUAGCCGUUGGAGGACUUGAUCCUUUAGUGGCGCAGCUAACGCGAUAAGUAGACCGCCUGGGGAGUACGGUCGCAAGAUUAAAACUCAAAUGAAUUGACGGGGGCCCGCACAAGCGGUGGAGCAUGUGGUUUAAUUCGAAGCAACGCGAAGAACCUUACCUACUCUUGACAUCCAGUGAACUUUUGAGAGAUCAAUUGGUGCCUUCGGGAACACUGAGACAGGUGCUGCAUGGCUGUCGUCAGCUCGUGUUGUGAAAUGUUGGGUUAAGUCCCGUAACGAGCGCAACCCUUGUCCUUAGUUACCAUCAUUAAGUUGGGGACUCUAAGGAGACUGCCGGUGACAAACCGGAGGAAGGCGGGGACGACGUCAAGUCAUCAUGGCCCUUACGAGUAGGGCUACUCACGUGCUACAAUGGCAUGUACAAAGGGUUGCCAAGCCGCGAGGUGGAGCUAAUCCCAUAAAGCAUGUCGUAGUCCGGAUUGGAGUCUGCAACUCGACUCCAUGAAGUCGGAAUCGCUAGUAAUCGUGAAUCAGAAUGUCACGGUGAAUACGUUCCCGGGCCUUGUACACACCGCCCGUCACACCAUGGGAGUGGGUUGCUCCAGAAGUAGAUAGCUUAACCUUCGGGAGGGCGUUUACCACGGAGUGAUUCAUGACUGGGGUGAAGUCGUAACAAGGUAGCCGUA
This 759-nucleotide ribosomal RNA is filed under the name uncultured bacterium. Its description in RNAcentral is "bacterial SSU rRNA". It matches the Rfam family "Bacterial small subunit ribosomal RNA", at positions 744 to 1504 of the family's 1533-position model. The record is from RNAcentral.